Molecule: ribosomal RNA, 497 nt
Filed under: uncultured bacterium
Lineage: Bacteria
Description: partial 16S ribosomal RNA
Rfam family: Bacterial small subunit ribosomal RNA
Source: RNAcentral
GACGAACGCUGGCGGCGUGCCUAAUACAUGCAAGUAGAACGCUGAAGCGAGGAGCUUGCUCUUCUUGGAUGAGUUGCGAACGGGUGAGUAACGCGUAGGUAACCUGCCUUGUAGCGGGGGAUAACUAUUGGAAACGAUAGCUAAUACCGCAUAACAAUGGAUGACACAUGUCAUUUAUUUGAAAGGGGCAAUUGCUCCACUACAAGAUGGACCUGCGUUGUAUUAGCUAGUAGGUGAGGUAAUGGCUCACCUAGGCGACGAUACAUAGCCGACCUGAGAGGGUGAUCGGCCACACUGGGACUGAGACACGGCCCAGACUCCUACGGGAGGCAGCAGUAGGGAAUCUUCGGCAAUGGGGGCAACCCUGACCGAGCAACGCCGCGGGAGUGAAGAAGGGUUUCGGAUCGUAAAGCUCUGUUGUAAGUCAAGAACGGGUGUGAGAGUGGAAAGUUCACACUGUGACGGUAGCUGACCAGAAAGGGACGGCUAACUACGUG